RNAcentral lists this ribosomal RNA (446 nucleotides) under uncultured bacterium. RNAcentral describes it as "partial 16S ribosomal RNA". It matches the Rfam family "Bacterial small subunit ribosomal RNA", at positions 28 to 507 of the family's 1533-position model. The record is from RNAcentral.
GAUGAACGCUGGCGGCGUGCUUAACACAUGCAAGUCGAACGGUAAACACGAGAAACGUUAUUUUCAGUGCCAGACGGAUGCGUAACGCGUGAGAACCUGCCCUUGGUCGGGGUACCACCCCUCUUAACGCCUGCUAAUAGCCCGUGGGAUGUGUAGCUAAUGUAGGAUGCCGCACUAGGAUGGGCUCGUGAGUGAUUAGCUAGUGGGGGGGUGAAUAGCUUACUAGGGCGAUGAUAAGUAGCUGGUGCGAGAGGAGGAUCACAGACACUGGGACGGAGACACGGCAUAGACUCCCCCGGGAGGCGGCAGUGGGGAAUUUUUCGCAAUGGGCGAAGGCCUGAGGGGCCACUGCCGCGUGGAGGUAGAAAGCACAUGCGUCGUGAACUGCUUUUCCCGAUGGGGAGGCAAUGACGGUACCUGAGGAGUAAGCAUCGGCUAACUCUGUG